RNAcentral lists this ribosomal RNA (778 nucleotides) under uncultured Bacillota bacterium. RNAcentral describes it as "bacterial SSU rRNA". It matches the Rfam family "Bacterial small subunit ribosomal RNA", at positions 1 to 799 of the family's 1533-position model. The record is from RNAcentral. Lineage: Bacteria; Bacillati; Bacillota.
AGGAGAGUUUGAUCCUGGCUCAGGAUGAACGCUGGCGGCGUGCUUAACACAUGCAAGUCGAACGGAGGUAUGAACUUCGGUUUAUACCUUAGUGGCGGACGGGUGAGUAACGCGUGGGCAACCUGCCUUACACCGGGGGAUAACAGUUGGAAACGACUGCUAAUACCGCAUAAGACCACAGUACCGCAUGGUACAGGGGUAAAAGCCGAGACGAUGUAAGAUGGACCCGCGUCUGAUUAGCCAGUUGGCAGGGUAACGGCCUACCAAAGCGACGAUCAGUAGCCGACCUGAGAGGGUGAUCGGCCACAUUGGGACUGAGACACGGCCCAAACUCCUACGGGAGGCAGCAGUGGGGAAUAUUGCACAAUGGGGGGAACCCUGAUGCAGCGACGCCGCGUGAGUGAAGAAGUAUUUCGGUAUGUAAAGCUCUAUCAGCAGGGAAGAUAAUGACGGUACCUGACUAAGAAGCACCGACUAAAUACGUGCCAGCAGUCGCGGUAAUACGUAUGGUGCAAGCGUUAUCCGGAUUUACUGGGUGUAAAGGGAGCGUAGGUGGUAUGGCAAGCCAGAAGUGAAAACCCGGGGCUCAACCCCGCGGAUUGCUUUUGGAACUGUUAAACUAGAGUGCAGGAGGGGUAAGCGGAAUUCCCAGUGUAGCGGUGAAAUGCGUAGAUAUUGGGAGGAACACCGGAGGCGAAGGCGGCUUACUGGACUGUAACUGACACUGAGGCUCGAAAGCGUGGGAAGCAAACAGGAUUAGAUACCCUGGUAGUCCCCU